AAGCCGAUUGAUAAAAUCAAAAUACUGACUUCUAAUCAGUAGGUUGAGGGUUCGAGUCCUUCUGGGAUCGCCA
This 73-nucleotide transfer RNA is filed under the name Rhodobacteraceae bacterium HIMB11. RNAcentral's name for it is "tRNA-Arg". The record is from RNAcentral. Lineage: Bacteria; Pseudomonadati; Pseudomonadota; Alphaproteobacteria; Rhodobacterales; Paracoccaceae.